AUAAUGGGUCAGCGACUUAUAUUCUGUAGCAAGGUUAACCGAAUAGGGGAGCCGAAGGGAAACCGAGUCUUAACUGGGCGUUAAGUUGCAGGGUAUAGACCCGAAACCCGGUGAUCUAGCCAUGGGCAGGUUGAAGGUUGGGUAACACUAACUGGAGGACCGAACCGACUAAUGUUGAAAAAUUAGCGGAUGACUUGUGGCUGGGGGUGAAAGGCCAAUCAAACCGGGAGAUAGCUGGUUCUCCCCGAAAGCUAUUUAGGUAGCGCCUCGUGAAUUCAUCUCCGGGGGUAGAGCACUGUUUCGGCAAGGGGGUCAUCCCGACUUACCAACCCGAUGCAAACUGCGAAUACCGGAGAAUGUUAUCACGGGAGACACACGGCGGGUGCUAACGUCCGUCGUGAAGAGGGAAACAACCCAGACCGCCAGCUAAGGUCCCAAAGUCAUGGUUAAGUGGGAAACGAUGUGGGAAGGCCCAGACAGCCAGGAUGUUGGCUUAGAAGCAGCCAUCAUUUAAAGAAAGCGUAAUAGCUCACUGGUCGAGUCGGCCUGCGCGGAAGAUGUAACGGGGCUAAACCAUGCACCGAAGCUGCGGCAGCGACGCUGAUGCGUUGUUGGGUAGGGGAGCGUUCUGUAAGCCUGUGAAGGUGUGCUGUGAGGCAUGCUGGAGGUAUCAGAAGUGCGAAUGCUGACAUAAGUAACGAUAAAGCGGGUGAAAAGCCCGCUCGCCGGAAGACCAAGGGUUCCUGUCCAACGUUAAUCGGGGCAGGGUGAGUCGACCCCUAAGGCGAGGCCGAAAGGCGUAGUCGAUGGGAAACAGGUUAAUAUUCCUGUACUUGGUGUUACUGCGAAGGGGGGACGGAGAAGGCUAUGUUGGCCGGGCGACGGUUGUCCCGGUUUAAGCGUGUAGGCUGGUUUUCCAGGCAAAUCCGGAAAACUAAGGCUGAGGCGUGAUGACGAGGCACUACGGUGCUGAAGCAACAAAUGCCCUGCUUCCAGGAAAAGCCUCUAAGCAUCAGGUAACAUCAAAUCGUACCCCAAACCGACACAGGUGGUCAGGUAGAGAAUACCAAGGCGCUUGAGAGAACUCGGGUGAAGGAACUAGGCAAAAUGGUGCCGUAACUUCGGGAGAAGGCACGCUGAUAUGUAGGUGAAGUCCCUCGCGGAUGGAGCUGAAAUCAGUCGAAGAUACCAGCUGGCUGCAACUGUUUAUUAAAAACACAGCACUGUGCAAACACGAAAGUGGACGUAUACGGUGUGACGCCUGCCCGGUGCCGGAAGGUUAAUUGAUGGGGUCAGCGCAAGCGAAGCUCUUGAUCGAAGCCCCGGUAAACGGCGGCCGUAACUAUAACGGUCCUAAGGUAGCGAAAUUCCUUGUCGGGUAAGUUCCGACCUGCACGAAUGGCGUAAUGAUGGCCAGGCUGUCUCCACCCGAGACUCAGUGAAAUUGAACUCGCUGUGAAGAUGCAGUGUACCCGCGGCAAGACGGAAAGACCCCGUGAACCUUUACUAUAGCUUGACACUGAACAUUGAGCCUUGAUGUGUAGGAUAGGUGGGAGGCUUUGAAGUGUGGACGCCAGUCUGCAUGGAGCCGACCUUGAAAUACCACCCUUUAAUGUUUGAUGUUCUAACGUUGACCCGUAAUCCGGGUUGCGGACAGUGUCUGGUGGGUAGUUUGACUGGGGCGGUCUCCUCCUAAAGAGUAACGGAGGAGCACGAAGGUUGGCUAAUCCUGGUCGGACAUCAGGAGGUUAGUGCAAUGGCAUAAGCCAGCUUGACUGCGAGCGUGACGGCGCGAGCAGGUG
Molecule: ribosomal RNA, 1802 nt
Filed under: Escherichia coli
Lineage: Bacteria; Pseudomonadati; Pseudomonadota; Gammaproteobacteria; Enterobacterales; Enterobacteriaceae
Description: partial 23S ribosomal RNA
Rfam family: Bacterial large subunit ribosomal RNA
Source: RNAcentral